This 1647-nucleotide long non-coding RNA is filed under the name Homo sapiens (human). RNAcentral's name for it is "HSALNT0145390". Lineage: Eukaryota; Metazoa; Chordata; Mammalia; Primates; Hominidae. The record is from RNAcentral.
CUCUACCCACCAGGGCCCUGAGAACAGGAUCCCCAAGAGCUGGCAGAUCCACGAAGAAAGGGGGAGAAGGGCCCCCACCCUGACUACCAGCCCCUGUUGACCAGGGAGCUCAGGGCAGUUGUGGACAGCUCUGAGGAGGUCCUCGCAGGGUCCAGGAGUCUGGGCCCCACCCUGAGUCGAGGCCUGAUUCAGCCCCCAAGCAGCAGUCAGCUCCCCACUGGGCCUGGGGCUAGGGGCUGGCCCCGCCCCCUGCACGCUGGCUCCGCCCCCUGCACGCUGGCUCUGUCAGACACCUUGCAACAGGCAUGACUGGGUGAGCUUGGGGCAGCCCGGAGGUGUGGAGGGGGCAGUGAAGACACCAGAGGAGCGGUGGCCCCUCCAGAGCUUGUGCAGGCCCCUCUGGGUCCUGGGUCCUUGGCCAAAUCUCAUGUUGAAACGUAAUCCCCAGUGCUGGAGGUGGGGCCUGGUGGGAAGUGAUUGGAUCCUGGGGGCAACUUCCCCCUUUGGUGCUGUUCCCAUGAUAAGACUUCUCAAGAUCUGGUUGUCUGGAAGUGCGUGGCACCGCCCCACCCCUUCCUCCGGCCAUGUAAGACCUGCCCGCUUCCGCUUCCACCAAGAUGCUCGUACUCCCCGGGGCUGGCUGGACUGGGCCUCUGCUCCAAGUCCCCACCCUCCACCCUCAGCCAACCACACAGUGGUGCUGCCCACCCUGAAGCCCGGGGAGCCAGGUGAGCUGGUCUGGUGGAAUGCCUGGGCAGACGGAAGUGCCCCAGGCGGUCAGCAUUCCCCCCACACCCUUGCCUGUCUGUGCCACCUCAGGCUGCUUCGACAAGAGAGGCCCAGGCCCCCAGCCUCCACUUCCUGCCAAGCCUAGAACCUCUCCCCCAAGCAGUUCCUCUUGAAGCUCACGUUGCCCAAACUGGCGGAACCCUGAGAUCAGGAACUUGCUGGUGCAGAGGCAGGGCCAGCCCAGCACAGCCACGUGCAGUGCCACUCUGGCCAGGUGUCUGGGGCUGAGUCAUCUCCUGGAGCUUCAACUUCUUCCCCAUUCUUCCUCUCCUUCCGUGGGCUGCUGGGUCAGGAGCUGUGUCCCUGACGCCAGAUGCCAGGGUGGUGCUGGGUUGGCAGCAGCAGUGGCAGGAGACACCUGAGCACUCCCUUUUGACUUGGGGAGUUUGAGACGUCUUCACUGACCCUGAGCCUGGGGGGCAGUGCCUAGGCAGGCGUGGGAGCCCAGGGCCACGGCUGGACCCUCUUACCUGGCACUACCCCCAACCCUGUCCUGUCCCCAGCCUGCCUCUAGCAAGGAAAGGUCUGCAGCAACUCCCUCAACUCCAAGGCAGACACCAAAGCCCUCCCUGCCUGUGGCUUUGUAGUUCUAGUGUGGGAUCUGACUCCCCACAGCCUACCCAAAGCCGGGGAACUCCUCACUGCCCUUCGGGCUUCAGCACAGGGCUGUCUCCCACGCCGGCAGGGCCUGUGCUUUCACUGGGAUGCAAAUCUUCCUGCUACCUCGAGCUCAGAUUCCCGACUCCAGCCCAGCCGCAGCCCGGGAGGCGCAGCCCGUGGGCUGGGUGAACAAACGACACAAACAACACAGGACAAGCUGUGGGGAAAAGUGAGUGAUUCGUGUUGUUUCCAGUCAGC